RNAcentral lists this ribosomal RNA (503 nucleotides) under Boophis tephraeomystax. RNAcentral describes it as "partial large subunit ribosomal RNA". It matches the Rfam family "Bacterial large subunit ribosomal RNA", at positions 1942 to 2606 of the family's 2925-position model. Lineage: Eukaryota; Metazoa; Chordata; Amphibia; Anura; Mantellidae. The record is from RNAcentral.
CUAACCGUGCGAAGGUAGCAUAAUCACUUGUUCUUUAAAUGGGGACUCGUAUCAACGGCAUCACGAGGAUCACACUGUCUCCCCCCUCUAAUCAGUGAAACUGAUCUCCCCGUGAAGAAGCGGGGAUUUUUUUAUAAGACGAGAAGACCCCAUGGAGCUUUAAACCCGAUGACACCCCCGCCCCAUCUACACCCACGUAUUCGUUGGGGGCCUGUUCACUCGGUUUUAGGUUGGGGUGACCGCGGAGUAAAACAAAACCUCCACGAAGAAUGGGCUUACCCCCCUUAUCCAAGAGACACAUCUCUAAGAAUUAGUAAACUAAUAUCUAAUGAUCCGAUUUUUUCGAUCAACGAACCAAGUUACCCUGGGGAUAACAGCGCAAUCCACUUCAAGAGCUCAUAUCGACAAGUGGGUUUACGACCUCGAUGUUGGAUCAGGGUAUCCCAGUGGUGCAGCAGCUACUAACGGUUCGUUUGUUCAACGAUUAAAACCCUACGUGAUCU